AGCGAACGCUGGCGGCAGGCCUAACACAUGCAAGUCGAACGAACUCUUCGGAGUUAGUGGCGGACGGGUGAGUAACACGUGGGAACGUGCCUUUUGGUUCGGAAUAACUCAGGGAAACUUGUGCUAAUACCGAAUGUGCCCUCCGGGGGAAAGAUUUAUCGCCAUUAGAGCGGCCCGCGUCUGAUUAGCUAGUUGGUGAGGUAACGGCUCACCAAGGCGACGAUCAGUAGCUGGUCUGAGAGGAUGACCAGCCACACUGGGACUGAGACACGGCCCAGACUCCUACGGGAGGCAGCAGUGGGGAAUCUUGCGCAAUGGGCGAAAGCCUGACGCAGCCAUGCCGCGUGAAUGAUGAAGGUCUUAGGAUUGUAAAAUUCUUUCACCGGGGACGAUAAUGACGGUACCCGGAGAAGAAGCCCCGGCUAACUUCGUG
RNAcentral lists this ribosomal RNA (433 nucleotides) under uncultured bacterium. RNAcentral's name for it is "partial 16S ribosomal RNA". It matches the Rfam family "Bacterial small subunit ribosomal RNA", at positions 29 to 507 of the family's 1533-position model. The record is from RNAcentral.